This 830-nucleotide ribosomal RNA is filed under the name uncultured bacterium. Its description in RNAcentral is "bacterial SSU rRNA". It matches the Rfam family "Bacterial small subunit ribosomal RNA", at positions 57 to 877 of the family's 1533-position model. The record is from RNAcentral.
GCAGUCGAGGGGCAGCGGGGAGGUAGCAAUACUUUCGCCGGCGACCGGCGCACUGGUGAGUAACACGUAUGGAACCUGCCCGUAGCAGGGGGAUAAGCGGAAGAAAUUCCGUCUAAUACCGCGUAAUAACUCCGAGAGGCAUCUCAUGGAGUUUAAAGGGUAACACCGGCUACGGAUGGCCAUGCGGCGCAUUAGCUAGUUGGCGGGGUAACGGCCCACCAAGGCGACGAUGCGUAGGGGUUCUGAGAGGAAGGUCCCCCACACUGGUACUGAGACACGGACCAGACUCCUACGGGAGGCAGCAGUGAGGAAUAUUGGUCAAUGGGCGCGAGCCUGAACCAGCCAAGUCGCGUGAGGGAAGACGGUCCUAUGGAUUGUAAACCUCUUUUGUCGGGGAGCAAAAGACGCCACGCGUGGCGUUCCGAGAGUACCCGAAGAAAAAGCAUCGGCUAACUCCGUGCCAGCAGCCGCGGUAAUACGGAGGAUGCGAGCGUUAUCCGGAUUUAUUGGGUUUAAAGGGUGCGCAGGCGGAAGAUCAAGUCAGCGGUAAAAUUGAGAGGCUCAACCUCUUCGAGCCGUUGAAACUGGUUUUCUUGAGUGAGCGAGAAGUAUGCGGAAUGCGUGGUGUAGCGGUGAAAUGCAUAGAUAUCACGCAGAACUCCGAUUGCGAAGGCAGCAUACCGGCGCUCAACUGACGCUCAUGCACGAAAGUGUGGGUAUCGAACAGGACUAGAUACCCUGGUAGUCCACACAGUAAACGAUGAAUACUAAUUGUUCGGGGAGAGUGAUCCCUGAGUGAUACAGCGAAAGCGUUAAGUAUUCCACCUGGG